CUCUGUGACCAUACCACCCUCAAUGUUCCAGAUCUCCUCUUGUCUCAGAAUCUAAGCAGGGUCGGACCUAGUUACUACUUGGAUGGGAGAUACUCAGGCUCUGGCCUGUGUUAGCAAAGAACAAAGGCACACUGAGG
Ictidomys tridecemlineatus (thirteen-lined ground squirrel) is the source of this 137-nucleotide ribosomal RNA. The record is from Ensembl. NCBI's taxonomy places the organism in Eukaryota, Metazoa, Chordata, Mammalia, Rodentia, Sciuridae.